GUAUUAACUUGCAACUCAGUCUGAUGAGCGCCUAUACAUAUGUAAGGUUUGUGCAAUCAAAGCUCCUGGUUUUGGGGAAAAUAGAAGAGCAAACUUAGAUGAUCUUGCCAUUCUUACUGGGGGAGAGGUUAUCACUGAAGACCGUGGUUUAACCCUUGACAAAGUUCAAUUUGAAAUGCUUGGAACUGCAAAAAAGGUUUAUGU
Molecule: long non-coding RNA, 204 nt
Organism: Quercus lobata
Lineage: Eukaryota; Viridiplantae; Streptophyta; Magnoliopsida; Fagales; Fagaceae
Exons: 3
Source: RefSeq, a predicted model, not a curated record